RNAcentral lists this ribosomal RNA (254 nucleotides) under uncultured bacterium. RNAcentral describes it as "partial 16S ribosomal RNA". It matches the Rfam family "Bacterial small subunit ribosomal RNA", at positions 1246 to 1500 of the family's 1533-position model. The record is from RNAcentral.
GAAGCAAAGCCGCGAGGUAGAGCAAAUCUCAAAAAAACAAUCUCAGUUCAGACUGCAGGCUGCAACUCGCCUGCACGAAGUCGGAAUUGCUAGUAAUCGUAGGUCAGCAUACUACGGUGAAUACGUUCCCGGGCCUUGUACACACCGCCGUCAAACCAUGAGAGUUGGCAACACCCGAAGUCGGUAGUCUAACCGCAAGGAGGACGCCGCCGAAGGUGGGGUUGAUGAUUAGGGUUAAGUCGUAACAAGGUAUC